RNAcentral lists this long non-coding RNA (13667 nucleotides) under Eucalyptus grandis. RNAcentral's name for it is "long non-coding RNA (EGRA_LNC004578)". The record is from RNAcentral. Lineage: Eukaryota; Viridiplantae; Streptophyta; Magnoliopsida; Myrtales; Myrtaceae.
CCCAACGACACCGCGUACGGCGUCAACCUUUUCACCCCGACCACCACCUCCACCGUCUCCGCCUGGCUCCAUCGCCACCCGCCCCGCUCCGUGGUCUACGUCUCCUUCGGCAGCAUGGCCGACCUCGACCCCUCCCAGUUCGCUGAGCUCGCCCACGGCCUUGCCCUCGCUGGCCACCCCUUCAUCUGGAUCGUCCGAUCUACCGAGCAGCACAAGCUCCCUCGGGAUCUGAUGGACUCGAUCCCCUCGGAGGAAGCUCUAAUACUCCCGUGGUGCAAUCAACUGGAGGUCCUCGAGAGUGAUGCGAUCGGAUGUUUUGUCACGCACUGCGGGCUCAGCUCAGUGGUCGAAGCGAUCUGCCUGGGGGUCCCGAUGGUGGCGAUGCCUCAGUGGACGGACCAGCCGACGAACGCCAAGUUCGUGGAGGAUGUGUGGAGGGUCGGGGUCAGGGCUAGGGCCGACGAGGCAGGGGUCGUUGGGAGAGAGGAGGUGGAGAGGUGCGUGAGAGAGGUGGUGGGAGGAGGAGGGAGAGGGAGAGAGGUGACGGAGAGCGCGAGGAUGUGGAUGGAGACGGCGAAGGCAGCGAUGGCAGAAGGCGGGAGCUCGGAUCGGAACAUCGAUGAGUUCGUGGAGGAGCUUGUGAGUCGUGCAUCAGUAGAGUAGAAGUGUGACAUCCUAAAUUUUCCUUCUAUAUAUUAUGUGGGCAAUUAUUUUGUUAUAUGGAAAUUAAAUUUUAGACUAAAAUUAAGGUAAAACACCAUUAUGGUGUCAAAGAUGAGUCUUAUCUCGUACAAAGUAUAAAGUAUGCUCAACAUUUUAUUUGGCAUUAGAUUGAGCGUUCCUUGGAUUACAUAAAUUUUAAUGGAAGUUUUUUUAUAAUUAUAAAAGUGCCACUAAAUUAAUAAUAUUAGGACAAUGCCAUGUCGUGGCAUGAUUAUUAUACAUUGAAAAUGCCUAAACAUACCUUUAGAUUACGCAAACAUUAAUUAAUCUAUACAUAAGGCUCAUAUGCUUUCACAUAUUUAUUAAUAUCUCUUUCUUCCCCUCUCUCAUAGCCACUUAUCACCCAUAUAAGUUGCCGCAUUUCCUAAAUUCCUAACCAUAUGUUUUAAUCAAGAGAUGACAUCAUCAUGAUAUCACCUUAACCUUGGUUAGUUGAUACAUUGAAUGUAAAAAAAUUGUGACUUAUUUCUUAUUUCCUUACUAACCACUUGUUACUAAAAUCUAACGCCUUAUUCCUCACCUUGUCUAGAUGGCAUCAUCAUGAUAUCACCUUAACCUUGGUUAGUUGAUACAUUGAAUGUGAAAAAAUUGUGACUUAUUUCUCAUUUCCUUACUAACCACUUUUUACUAAAUCUAACGCCUUAUUCCUCACCCUGUUUGCUGAUCUAAAAACUUAAGCUAAUUGGGGAGGCAAAUGGGCUUUGGUAAGAUUUGAACUCAAGACCUCCAGUUCUGAAGCAAUGUGAGAUUUAAUGCGAUCAUUGCUAAUUGUUCUAAAAAUUUAAGCUAUUAGAUUAAGGCACAAUUUAUUAUUUAAAUAUUCUAACAAAGAUAUCUCAUGUAUCCAAGAGCCAUGGUUCAAAGAGUCUCCAUUUAGGAUACAUUGACAACACUAGCAUAAGCAAGUUUAGCUAUUCCAUCUUAUCAAUCAAGGUUUCAACUUGAUAUUUGCUGCAAAUAAAAUCAAAGAUUAUACCUAAUUCAGUGAUAAUGUUACCAAAUUUGAACUCGAUGGAUGGCUUGCGAGGGUGGUGGCGGGCAGUGUGCUCACGGUGUUCGGCGAAGGACACUUGGUGUGGGAAGCCCAGCUCGGUGGGGCUUGCGAAUUGGGACUUGUUAAGGCUGUGCAAUGUCAGGUUGGUGAUGGCUGGUUGUGGCUCGUUUCCAUGGCGCCUCGGCUCAGGCCGUCUCUUGGUGGAGAGUGGGCCGUAGCGAUUGCUUCGUCAGGAAACUUGCAAAAUUAGAGAACAACCCUGAGGUGGCUGAGCAAUAGCGGCGUUGUGGGAUGGAGUUGGAUGGCGGGGCAGUGAGGUCGGCGAGACCGAUGCAGCGCCGGUGGGGGCAGGGACUGGGACUGGUGGCAAAGGCAAUGAUGGGUGACGGCUCGGCAAGUGUGGCACUGCGGACCAGCAGAGGAACAACAACGGGCCGCUGUGAUCGUGGACCAGUGUCGCGGGUUUGAGCAGGCUGCGACGUUGGUGUGGUUUGCAGUAAAGCUCGGUCCGACGCCAUUGGAGGAAGCAGUAGUGACAACAAUGUCACUGAGGCAAAGGAAACAGCGAAGCCGGCCAGUGACUGCUCUGUUGAGGGGGUCACGGCCAAGAAGGACCUGGCCUGGCCGUAGUUUGCGGUGACAAGGAAGAACAGCCGAGAAAGGGGGUAUCGAUCGGGGCUCCCUCACCCUCUCUCUCAAUCUCUUACUUGUGUUUUUUGAAUUCUCUAUUGUGAAUUGACGAGUUAUGAGGCAUAGAUGCAUAUUUAUAAUGCUUACUUAGGUUUAAUUCACUCUUGCGGGCUUAAUUUCGUCCUUACAACUUGAUGAGCUCUAAUAAAGAGAUCUCUAAUUUGGAAACUCGUGGUCACUUGUUCAAAUCCAAUCAUUUGAAUGCAAACUACUUCGAGCCAUAGUCACUUUUAUAGGCGGACCGAAUUGGUUUAUGAAAUUUAUAGGAUAUUUCAUAGAUCUCUCUACUACUGCGCUUGUAUAGUUAGAAAGAUUUAUAGAUUGCUUCCGACGAGUUUCAUAGAUGACAUCUCUUUAGCGCUUACAAGUAUACAGCUCCAACUCUAGAGAAAGAGAGAGAAGUGACCUAAUGGAGCCUUCAAGCAAAACUCCACCGAGCUCAUGUGCUGAUCCUCCCUUUCCCCGCCCAAGGCCACAUAAAUCCCAUGCUCCAAUUCUCCAAGCGCCUCGUCUCCAAAGGCCUCAAAGCCACCCUCGCCCUCACCGUCCACCUCGCCGGAUCCAUGCAGGCCGACCCCUCCUCAUCCAUCGACCUCAAUUGUUCACUUUAUUUUGAAAAAAUCUACACACGUGUUUUAUCCUGAAUUUAAUUAAGAAAUUAGUUAUUCAUCUCGACAUGAAAAUCGUUCCCUCUCUCUCUCUCACCAAUGAGAUUAGGUUGUCGACUGGAUGUCCGCCAAUCUGUGGCCGCCAAAGACCGUAGGCCCCACCCUUCCCUCCCUCUACCUGGACAAGCGCCUCCCCAACGACACCGCGUACGGUGUCAACCUUUUCACCCCGACCACCACCUCCACCGUCUCCGCCUGGCUCCGUCGCCACCCGCCCCGCUCCGUGGUCUACGUCUCCUUCGGCAGCAUGGCCGACCUCGACCCCUCCCAGUUCGCUGAGCUCGCCCACGGCCUUGCCCUUGCUGGCCACCCCUUCAUCUGGAUCGUCCGAUCUACCGAGCAGCACAAGCUCCCUCGGGAUCUAAUGGACUCGAUCCCCUCGGAGGAAGCUAUAAUCUUCCCGUGGUGCAAUCAACUGGAGGUCCUCGAGAGCGAUGCGAUCGGAUGCUUUGUCACCCAACUGCGGGCUCAACUCAGUGAUCGAGGCGAUCUGCCUGGGGGUCCCGAUGGUGGCGAUGCCGCAGUGGACGGACCAGCUGACGAACACCAAGUUCGUGGAGGAUGUGUGGAGGGUCGGGGUCAGGGCUAGGGCCGACGAGGUAGGGGUCGUUGGGAGGGAGGAGGUGGAGAGGCGCGUGACGGAGGUGGUGGGAAGAGGAGAGUGAGGGAGGGAGAUGGCGGACAGCACGAGGAGGUGGAUGGCAGCAGCGAAGGCGGCGAUCGCGGAAGGCGGGAGCUCCGACCGGAACAUCGAUGAGUUCGUGGAGGAGCUGAUGAGUCGUGCGUCGAUAGAGUAGUAGAAGAACAAUACAUAAGAUUGAUUCGAGUAUUUAUGUCAAAGUAAGGUUUGAGAUCACAAUCACCGCCCUAUGCGGCUGGAUUCUUCAUGAUGGACAUACUAAUAUGGCCUCUCUUUUCCUCGCUUUUUUCAUACAAAAAAAAAGGACAAGAUUAAAGGAAGAAAAAUCUAGGGCAGGACAUAAUGAGGGUAAUCUUGAUUCUCAAGUACCAGAAUAAGAAGAAAAAUGAAAACAUUCUUCUAGGAUGAUAGACAAUCAUGGUUUCAAGCGAUUGUGAAUUGAAAGUAACAAGAUGAUAAACUUUCGAGAUACAUAUGUGAAUUAUAUUAGAAAAAUUCCAAUUAGCGAUUUCCUCAAACGAAGGUAUCGAAUUUUUGUUGCACAUGUCCAGCAUAAACAAUCACGAAUGAAACGAGCAUGUUUCAAGGUUGUAACACUUUUUCCCUCCUUCUACAAGAAUGAAAUGGAAAUGAAAAUCCUUCACCACGUUAAUACCUGCUUGUCGGCCUCUAUGCGCAUCUACUUGGCAUUCGUUUCGCGGUCGUUGCACUUGGUUCGGUGAUAUGAACGUUGUCAUGCAAGAAUUGCAAUAUGAUAAACAGUGAUAUGCUCUCAACUUUUGGGUCGCGAUCCUGUUUUUCUCGACAAUCUCUUAUUUGACGGACAAUUCCCUACGAUAACAGGGCCGCAAAUUGUAGCCAUGCACCUUGUAAUCAGAUUAAGAUCGCUAGAUGCGUCUGAUCAUAUCUCAUAUAUAGUGGAUAAGACUGAGCAUAUGCUCAGCAUUUCAUCACUAGUCACUACUAAGUAGCUGCACGUUACUUGCGACUAGACGUCAAUCUUCUUUUCAGAUAACAAAGUUUGACCGUCAAUUUGGCCGCCGAAAGCGAAAACCCAAAAAUUUCACAAUCCACAAAAUUAUUUUUAAAGAUAAGCAUGGAGUUGACCUGUUGACCCAUCAAAGUGGGACUUUCCAAAGUCAUGUUCCGCCAAUAACGAGAAGAAGAUGAGUAGACACGGUUUAGGAUUUUAUAUAAAUGCUUCCAAUGUGGAGUUUGAGUAGAAAUAGUUUGCUUAAAAAUGAAUAUGUAGAUCGAAGUGGUUGUACCAUACGGCGAAAGUUCGGGUAUGGCGUGACGCUUUGAAUUCUCAAUAACGUCGAGUUCAUCGACAAUAGUGAUUAUUGCAUGAACACCAAUUAGUAAUCGAUCACGGGGUAGGUGUGAUCGUCGCCGGCCGAUCAGAGUAACUGGCAAAAAUAUUAUGCGUAGAAAAAAAUGAGCAGAAAAUCUUCAACACCGAUCACUUUCCUCGGGAAGUGUUUUGUCUUGCGUAUGUCUCAAAGGGAUUGCGCAAUCGCUUGACUAAGGCCCUAUUUGUUUAUUUUUAUUUAUGUUUCCCAUAGUAAAAAUUUAUGUUCUUUUGUUCCAGGGAACAAAAAAAAGAACAUAAAUAUGUUUGGUAAAACUUUUUGUUCUCGGGAAUAGAUUUGGAAUAGAAACAAGAAAUAGAAAAAAGUUGUUUCUUGUUUCAGGAAUAAUUCCGAGAAACAAUUUUUCUCUUUCCUCUUUUUUUCUUCUUCUUCUUUCUUUUGCCGGUCACCAGCCUUGGCCAUGGCUGACGUCGGCAAUCGGCAGGGCUGGCGACCUUGCCGGCCCUAGGAGAUGCCAAGCCAAUGCGAGGCUUGGCGUCGCCAAGCUAGGGCGAGGUCGACCUUGCGCUGCCUUGGUGAGGUUGAGCCUCAUUGGUGGCCUCGGUGGCCAGGCGAGCCUCGUGAGGCCACCGACGAGGUUCGACCUUGGCCAGGAGGCGCGAGGCUCGCCUGGCCACCGAGAUCAUUGGUGAGGCUCGGCCUAGCGAGGCUUCGGUGAGCUUGCCCAGUCGGUCGCCGGCUGCCGCCGUGGCUGGCGACCGGCCAUAAAGAGAAAGAAGAAGGAAGAAAGAAGAAAGAAGAAAGAAAGAAGAAAAAAGGAAAAAAAAUAUUGAAAAAUAUUGAAAAACUAAAAGAAAGAACAAAAUUAUACAAUUUUACCAAACACAUUUCUAUUCUUGGAGUAGAAAUUUUUUGUAGUUACCAAGCGCGUUCUUAUACUUAGAAAUUGUUCCCGGCGACAGAAACAAAAAAAAACUAUGUCUGUUCAAAAAUUGUUGCUCGGAGCAGAAACGUUAUCAAAUGCGCUUUAAUAUGCUCUGAUUUCCCUAAUAAAAAAUUAAGGCUGGAGGACCACUCACCAAAACCCUAAUUGACUAUAUUUGAAAGUCUUCUCUCUCUACAAAUAAGAUGCACGUUCACAAAUGUCAUUAGUGGUUCAGUAUCUUUUUGUGAGUUCAGUACCUGCCGCAUGUUUCUUCAUAGAAUAUGGAUUCCGUCCAAAAAAAUUAAUAAUUUGAAAAAUAUAAUUCUGUGAAGAUAAGGGAUUGCGCAAUCGUUUGACUAAUAUGCUAUGAUUUCCCUAAUAAAAAUUAGGGCUGGAGGACCACUCACCAAAACCCUAAUUGACUAUAUUUGAAAGCCUUCUCUCUCUAUAUUAGCAAAUUGGGUUUAUACUAAAGGGCAUAAUUGUCAUUGUAUUGUUUUAGCCCUAAACCCUAUGUAUAUAUUGUAAAUUACUUCAUCAAUGCAAGUGAGUUUGCCCAAUCUCUACAUGGUAUCAGAGCGGCGAUCCUUGGAGCCCAUCUCUCACGUCUCGAAGUGGCCAUAGCAUUGAUGCCGAUCAAGUGCUAAGGAUUUUUUUUUCACUCCAAGUUCAAGGCCUCCCUCUCGCUCAGUGCUUUGCUCUUUCGAUCUCAUCUCAAGUCUUGACUCUUGCCUCUUCUCACAAGUUCAAGAGCCAAUCGUGAGUCACAAUUUGUGAUGACAAUCACAUCAGAGGCUGGGUAUCACAAUUUGCUCUUGCCUCCUCUCUGUGGUAUCAGAAUUUGCACAAAUUGGAAUUUGCACGAAUUAGAGGUUGCAUCGGAAUUUGGCAGUUUAUGGUUUGGGAGAACGUGCUGGCCAUUCGGACUGAUAUUCGCAAUUAUAUUUGCAUGAACUUCUUCUGUGGUGCUCACCGUCUCAACCUCGGCGAUAUACCACUACCCAAAUUCUGAAACUGCUUGCUUUCUCUGAUCUUUUUGUCCUCAAGAAUCGGUUCUUAUGCAGAUGUGAGGAGGUAAUCAUGGCAAUUGAGUAUCAAAACUCUUCAGCCACCGUUCCCGCACAUGAACGGGUGGGCAGCCCUUAUUUUUUGCAUCAUUCUGAUAACCCAUAAUCUAAUCUCGUUGGCAUGGUCCUUACGGGUGACAAUUACAACAAUUGGUCUCGUGCCAUGGAGAUUGCCCUUUCCGCCAAGAACAAGAUGGUGUUUGUGACUGGAGAAAUAAAAAAGCCAGAUGCAACAAAUCCUGCCUAUGCAUCUUGGAUUCGUGUGAACAAUAUGAUUCUAUCUUGGAUCCUUAAUUCCAUCCAUCCAGAUUUGGUGCCAACAGUUCUUUACACAGAGUCAGUUGCGAAUGUCUGGGCCGAUCUUUGUGAACGUUUUUCGCCAUCAAAUGGUCCUAGAAUUUUUCAUCUCGAGCAAAAGAUAUGCACCCUUGCUCAAUGUGAUGAUGUCGUGACUAAGUAUUACAACAAUUUGCAAAGCUGCUGGGAUGAAUUGAAAAAUUUGGAUUUGUUACCGCAAUGCUCUUGUUCGGCUCAUUCUAUCAUCACCACACAACAAGAGAAUCGGCGCUUGUUUCAAUUUCUCAUGGGUCUCAAUCCGAGGUAUGCUAACGUUAUUAGUCAGAUUUUACUAAUGAAUCCGUUACCUAGUGUUGCACGUGCAUAUGCACUAGUUCUUCAAGAUGAGUCACAUUGCCAUAUCCAAUUGGAUUGCCCACUAUCUGACCAAACCAGCACUUUGCUUAGCACUCAUGAAAAUAAUGCUCCACGGCUGUACAUGAAUUCCUCAUACCAUGGACAACCCAGCUCUCUUGGUGCCCUCGCUCCGUCCGCUAACCUAGCUAAACGGAUGAACACGUCUCGCAGCCGAGAAAGAUGUGUCCAUUGUGGCAUCUCGGGACAUACACGGGAUGUGUGUUAUUGACUUCAUGGCUUCCCUCCUAACCACAAGCAAUGCUGUGGAUAGCCAUCUACUUCCUCUCGGCUUGCGGAUAACAAGUCCAGUCAUACUUAUGAUGCGGCACCUCCACCAUUCACAAAUGAUCAGUAUAAGCAGUUGAUGCGCUUGUUGCAAGAGAUAAACAUCGCGAAAGCCAACCUCUCAGGUAAUGUUCUUGGCUGAACUUCGAAUUCAUUUAAUUCCAAUACUUGGGUCAUUGACACUGGCACGACUAAUCACAUCACAUUUGAACCCCAUUAUCUUACAAACCCAACAUACUAUUCCUCUCCACAUCCCACUAUUGGAAUUCUGAAUGGUGUUGGUAUCCUUGUGACAUCACACGGUUUAGCCCCCCUUACCUCAAUUAUCUCUCUUGAUCAUGUCCUUUGCGCUCCCUCUUUCAAAUAUAACUUAUUGUCAGUUUCCAAACUCACUCAAACUUUAAACCGCUCAAUCAUUUUUUUAUCCUAACUACUGUCUUUUUCAGGACCUCUUGAUGAAGAAGAUCAUUGGUCGGGGCCACGAGCAUGGUGGUUGCUAUUAUCUGGAGAUUCCUACCGAACCUGCCGUUCUUUCUACUACAGCCUCUUCAUCUCAUCUUUGGCACACCCGCUUAGGACAUCUAUCUGAGUCAGUUUUAUCUACUUUGCAACAAAUUUUAUGUUUUAGUCCAGCAAAACAAUUCAGUCCAUGUGAUGCUUGUCAUUUAUCCAAGCAAAUGAGCUUGUUUUUUUUUUUUUUUUUUUUUUUGGUGUCUAGCACUAUUACUACUUCACGUCCUUUUGAGCUUAUUCAUGUUGACAUUUUGGGACCUUAUUCUCAUUUUACACAUAAGACAUGUCGUUAUUUUUUAUCUAUUGUUGAUGAUUAUUCGCGCUAUACUUGGAUUUUUUUGCUUACUUUUAAGUCUGAUGCAAUUGACUCUAUGAUUCGCUUCUUUACUUUUGUUGAAACUCAAUAUCAAACCAAAAUCCAAAAUGUUCAAUCUGAUAAUGGGACUGAAUUUCUUUCCUCUCGCUUACAAGAGUUUUUUUGUGCACAUGGUGUUCACCACUAACGUAGUUGUCCUCAUACCCCUCAACAAAAUGGAGUUGUUGAGCAUAAGUAUCGUCACUUGCUCAAUGUUACUCGUGCAUUGCGUUUUCAUUCUAGCAUACCUCUUCAUUUUUGGGGAGAUUGUGUCUUAACUGCUACUCAUCUCAUUAAUAGACUACCUAGUCCUCUCCUACACAAUAAAACCUGUAUGAACUUCUUUAUGGAAAACCACCUUCUUAUUCUCAUCUUUGUGUCUUUGGCUCAUUAUGCUAUGCUUCCACUGGUCAUCUUCACUCUGAUAAAUUUGGUCCCUAAUCUCGCCAAUGUGUUCUAAUUGGUUAUUCGACAAACCACAAAGGUUACCGUCUCUAUGACCUUCAAGACCAAACAAUUUUUACUAGUCGCGACGUCAUUUUUUAUGAACAACAUUUUCCUUUCCGUCAAACCAUCAAACACACCACAACCGAACAGACCUCAGUACUUCCAUUACCCAUACCUGACCUUGGUGAAACGUACCCACCUCCCUCCACCCCAGUCCUUGCACCGACCUCCACUCCUCAACCUCCUGCACCCACGAUCACACCAUCACCAACUGAACCCGAAGCCAUGCCUCGGCCAUCUUGGCAACGCCACCCACUAGGAUAUCUUCGGGACUACUACUAUGCUAUUGUGGCCUUCGAUCAAUCCUCUUCGAACUCUAAGGUAACUGAAUCAGGUAUUCUUUACCCUUUAUCCAACUAUUUAUCAUACUCGCGUUUUUCACCCACUCAUCGUGCCUUUUUAGCCUCCAUAUCCUUUGGACAGGAACCUCAAACUUAUGACGCUGUGUGUCAAUCUCCCAAGUGGCGGGAGGCAAUGUCUUCUGAGAUACAGGCUCUUGAACAAAAUAGCACUUGGGAAAUUGUUCAUCUUCCUCCUAACAAACAUCCCAUUGGAUGUAAAUGGGUUUACCGAAUCAAAUAUAAUUCUGAUGGCACCAUUGAGCGUUACAAGGCUCGGCUCGUUGCAAAGGAUUACACUUAAACAGAGGGGAUUGAUUAUCAUGACACAUUUGCGCCUGUUGCUAAAAUGGUAACUGUUUGCACUUUAUUAGCUCUUGCUUCAAUUCAUCAUUGGCCUCUCUACCAAUUAGAUGUGAAUAACGCUUUUCUGCAUGGUGAUCUUGACGAAGAGGUGUACAUGAGGUUUCCACCGGGUUUUCAUACUAAGGGGGAGAAUUUAGUUUGUCGACUUAAGAAACCACUCUAUGGCCUUAAAUAGGCAUCGAGGCAAUGGUUUGCUAAAUUCUCUUCUGCACUACUUGAUGUUGGUUUUCAACAGUCAAAGGCGGGCUAUUCACUUUUUACAUUAGUCCGUGGUUCUCUCUUGACUAUUGUCCUUGUUUAUGUUGAUGAUUUGGUUAUAACGGGUGAUGAUGAAGUUAUGAUUCGACUUCUCAAACGAUUUCUUGACACACAAUUUCGUAUUAAGGACUUGGGCACUCUCAAACAUUUCUUGAGCAUUGAAGUUUCUCGUUCCAAGUCUAAGAUUUUCUUGUCACAAAGGAAAUACGCUCUUAAAUUUUUGUUUAACAUUGGUCUUCUUGGUGGACGUCCUAUUGAUACUCCAAUGGAACCCAAUAUACAAUUUUCGCACUUCUCUCCAACUCUUAAGGAUCCAGGUUCAUAUUGACGACUUAUUGGUAGAUUAUUAUAUCUUACGGAACUCGUUUAGAUUUACUCUUUGCAGUGCAACAUCUUAGUCAAUUGUUGCACUCUCCUCACGAAGACCAUUGGAAUGCUGCCUUUCGCAUUGUGCGGUAUCUCAAGCAUGAUCCUGGCACUGGUUUAUUUUUCCCAUAUGAUUCAACUCUCCAACUUAAUGGUUAUAUAGAUUAUGAUUGGGCAUCCUGUUCUACAUCCCGACGAUCUGUUUCUUGGUUCUUGUCCUAUCUCAUGGCGUUCCAAAAAACAAAUCACUGUUGCCUAUUCCUCAGCAUAAGCCGAAUAUCGUGCCAUGGCGUCUGUUGCAUGCGAAAUCACAUGGCUUCACAUGCUUCUCUCGAAUCUCCAUGUCAACACUACCACUGCCAAUCUUUUUUGUGAUAAUAAAGCGGCCAUCCACAUUGCCACUAAUCAUGUCUUCCACGAACGAACCAAACACAUCGAGAUUGACUGUCACUUGGUUUGUGAAAAAAUUCAAGAUGGUACUUUGCAUACUCUUUAUAUUCCCAGUCACUCCCAACUCGCGAACUUGUUCACGAAACCGUUCGCACGUGAUUUAUUUUGUAAUUUUAAGAACAAGUUGUUGACAUGUUUACAUUCACCAACUUAAGGGGGAGUAUUAGCAAAUUGGGUUUAUACUAAAGGACAUAAUUGUCAUUGUAUUGUUUUAGCCCUAAACCCUAUGUAUAUAUUGUAAAUUACUUUAUCAAUGCAAGUAAGUUCGCGCAAUCUCUACACUCUACAAUAAGAUGCGCGUUCACGAAUGUCAUUGGUGGUUCAGUAUCUUUCUGCGGGUUCAGUACCUACCACAUGUUUCUUUCUCUAAUUUGGAACCAAUCCUUUGAAUGUGAACUAUUUCCAGCCAGAGUCACUUUUAUAGGCGGACCGAACUGGUUUAUGAAAUUCAUAGGCUAUUUCAUAGAUCUCUCUACUAGUGCGCUUGUAUAAUUAAAAAGAUUUAUCGAUUGCUUCCGACGAGUUUCAUAGAUGACACCUCUUUAGCGCUUACAAGUAUACAGCUCCAACUCUAGAGAAAGAGAGCGAAGUGAGCUAAUGGAGCCUUCAACCAAACUCCACCGAGCUCAUGUGCUGAUCCUCCCUUUCCCCGCCCAAGGCCACGUAAAUCCCAUGCUCCAAUUCUCCAAGCGCCUCGUCUCCAAAGGCCUCAAAGCCACCCUCGCCCUCACCGUCCACCUCGCCGGAUCUAUGCAGCCCGACCCCUCCUCGUCCAUCGACCUCGAAACCAUCUCCGACGGCCACGACCUCGGCGGCUUCAUGGGGGCCAAGUCCAUCGAGGCCUACCAGACGGACUUCCGGGACGUCGGUUCGAGGACCCUGGCUGAGCUGAUCCAUAAGCUCGACCGCUUGGGCCGACCACUCGACGCGGUCAUCUAUGACGGGUUCCUCCCGUGGGUGCUCGAUGUGGUCAAGCAGUGCGAUAAGCUUGGAGUGGUCUUCUUCACGCAGACAUGCGCGGUCAACAACAUAUAUUACCACGUGCAGCGCGGCUUGCUCCCGCUUCCGCUUCCGCUUUCGGAAGGCAGUGUCAGGGUCCCGGGGCUGCCGCCUCUGAAGCCGUGGGAGGCACCGUCGUACGUGUAUAAGCUGGGGUUAUACCCUGCCUUUUAUGAUAUGCUGAUAAACCAAUCCACGAACGUGGACGAUGCGGAUUUCGUGCUCUUCGACACCUUCUACGAGCUAGAGAAAGAGGUACGUAUGUACAAUCCCCUGCUGCUGCUCUCUCAUCAUAGACCAUGUACCGUUCAUUAACAUCAUACCAUGAUUUCUUUUCUCCCUCUUGAAAAGUUCUGUUGGAUCAUUGCAUUUGUUCAGUUCAAUUACGACUCAUGCUCUUUUUAUAUCGUUUAAAUGAUUAGUUCAAGAACAAUAUUUUUUUUAUCAACAAUAAUUUAUGUGUACAAAUUUUCAUAGCCGAUGAAAUAUAUAUUUUUUGUCUUUAUAAGCGAUAUAAGCGAUCAUUUUUAAGAAAAUAUCUUUCAAAUUAUACUCUUUUUUUCGAAAUAAACAAAGCCUAAGCGAAGAUUAGACUACGUCAAGAUACAUGAGCGCUUGGCUUGGAUAUUCGUCCGUGUCCUUCUACCUUAAUCUUAGAGAGCAUAAAUAUUCUUCCCUUCUUUGGCGUUUCUGCAUUUGGAGUCUUAUGGCCGAAUCAUAUGCUAGGAUGGCGUGCUCAUUUUCUUCAAUCGAUAAAGCUAAUUUAGACUUCCGAUGAAGGUGCUUUAAAAAAAUGGUGACGCCAGAAAGUUUUACGUGUCCAAAUUUAUGUCAUAAUAUUUAACUCUAUGAUUGACGUAAAAGGCGAUGUGAUCGCACCAUAUUUUAUAAGGAAAUAUGGUGAAUUGCGAAGGUGUCGAUUGUAUAUCAUCAAUUUGGUGCGUCACGGAUGCGCAGCGAGUACGUCACCUUGCGCAGAUUUUCUUUCACGCAAGGAGAAAUGGUUCACAAGAAACCAUAAAAAAUUAACAAUUUUUACUUCCUACGGAAUCCUUAUAUUCACGAAGACAGUCAAUUGUUCACUUUAUUUUGAAAAAAUCUAUACACGUGUUUUAUCCUGAAUUUAAUUAAGAAAUUGGUUAUUCAUCUCGACAUGAAAAUCGUUCCCUCUCUCUGUCUCACCGACUCUCUGUCUCACCGAUGAGAUUAGGUUGUCGACUGGAUGUCCUCCAAUCUGUGGCCGCUAAAGACCGUCGGCCCCACCCUUCCCUCCCUCUACCCGGACAAGCGCCUCCCCAACGACACAGCGUACGGCGUCAACCUUUUCACCCCGACCACCACCUCCACCGUCUCCGCCUGGCUCCGUCGCCACCCGCCCCACUCCGUGGUCUAUGUCUCCUUCGGCAGCAUGGCCGACCUCGACCCCUCCCAGUUCGCCGAGCUCGCCCACGGCCUUGCCCUCCCCGGCCACCCCUUCAUCUGGAUCGUCCGAUCUACCGAGCAGCACAAGCUCCCUC